AGUGAACGCUGGCGGUAGGCCUAACACAUGCAAGUCGAACGGCAGCACAGGAGAGCUUGCUCUCUGGGUGGCGAGUGGCGGACGGGUGAGGAAUACAUCGGAAUCUACUUUUUCGGGGGGGAGAACGUAGGGAAACUGACGCUAAUACAGCAUACGACCUACGGGUGAAAGCAGGCGAGCUUCGGACCUUGCGCGAUUGAAUGAGCCGAUUCCGGAUUAGCUAGUUGGCGGGGUAAAGGCCCACGAAGGCGACGAUCCGUAGCUGGUCUGAGAGGAUGAUCAGCCACACUGGAACUGAGACACGGUCCAGACUCCUACGGGAGGCAGCAGUGGGGAAUAUUGGACAAUGGGCGCAAGCCUGAUCCAGCCAUACCGCGUGGGUGAAGAAGGCCUUCGGGUUGUAAAGCCCUUUUGUUGGGAAAGAAAUCCAGCUGGCUAAUACCCGGUUGGGAUGACGGUACCCAAAGAAUAAGCACCGGCUAACUUCGUGCCAGCAGCCGCCGCAG
Molecule: ribosomal RNA, 506 nt
Filed under: uncultured bacterium
Lineage: Bacteria
Description: partial 16S ribosomal RNA
Rfam family: Bacterial small subunit ribosomal RNA
Source: RNAcentral